GUUCUAUUGAUUUAUGAUUUUAGAUUUGGCCUGCUCUAUGAAUUUUAAAUGGCUGCGGUAUUUUAACUGUACUAAGGUAGCAUAAUAAUUUGUCUUUUAAUUGGAGGCUAGAAUGAAUGGUUUGAUGAGAAACUAGCUUUUUUUAAUUAAUAAUUUGAAUUUGAUUUUUAAAUCAAAAAGUUUAAAUUUUUAUAUAGGACGAGAAGACCCUAUAGAAUUUUAUUAAAUUUAUUUUAUUAUAUUUUUGUUUUAUUUAUUUUUAAUUUUUAUAAAUUUAAUUUUGUUGGGGUGAUGUAAAAAUUAUUUUGACUUUUUAUUUAUUUUACAUAAAUUAGUGUUUUUUUGAUCCUAAAUUUUAGAUUAUAAGAUUAAAUUACCUUAGGGAUAACAGCGUAAUUUAUUUGGAGAGUUCAUAUCGAUAAAUAAGUUUGCGA
Molecule: ribosomal RNA, 434 nt
Filed under: Mesovelia furcata
Lineage: Eukaryota; Metazoa; Arthropoda; Insecta; Hemiptera; Mesoveliidae
Description: partial 16S ribosomal RNA
Source: RNAcentral